RNAcentral lists this ribosomal RNA (492 nucleotides) under uncultured bacterium. RNAcentral's name for it is "partial 16S ribosomal RNA". It matches the Rfam family "Bacterial small subunit ribosomal RNA", at positions 29 to 507 of the family's 1533-position model. The record is from RNAcentral.
AGUGAACGCUGGCGGUAGGCCUAACACAUGCAAGUCGAACGGCAGCACAGUAAGAGCUUGCUCUUACGGGUGGCGAGUGGCGGACGGGUGAGGAAUACAUCGGAAUCUACUUUUUCGUGGGGGAUAACGUAGGGAAACUUACGCUAAUACCGCAUACGACCUACGGGUGAAAGCAGGGGAUCUUCGGACCUUGCGCGAUUGAAUGAGCCGAUGUCGGAUUAGCUAGUUGGCGGGGUAAAGGCCCACCAAGGCGACGAUCCGUAGCUGGUCUGAGAGGAUGAUCAGCCACACUGGAACUGAGACACGGGCCAGACUCCUACGGGAGGCAGCAGUGGGGAAUAUUGAACAAUGGGCGCAAGCCUGAUCCAGCAAUACCGCGUGGGUGAAGAAGGCCUUCGGGUUGUAAAGCCCUUUUGUUGGGAAAGAAAAGCAGCAGGUUAAUACCCCGCUGUUCUGACGGUACCCAAAGAAUAAGCACCGGCUAACUUCGUG